RNAcentral lists this ribosomal RNA (544 nucleotides) under uncultured bacterium. Its description in RNAcentral is "bacterial SSU rRNA". It matches the Rfam family "Bacterial small subunit ribosomal RNA", at positions 8 to 563 of the family's 1533-position model. The record is from RNAcentral.
AGAGUUUGAUCAUGGCUCAGGAUAAACGCUGGCGGCGUGCCUAACACAUGCAAGUUGAACGGAGUGCGAGAGAGCUUGCUUUUUUGCACUUAGUGGCGGACGGGUGAGUAAUGUAUGAGCAACCUGCCUUUCAGAGGGGGACAACAGUUGGAAACGACUGCUAAUACCGCAUGACGUGCGCAGUUCGCAUGGACAGCGCAUCAAAGGAGAAAUCCGCUGAAGGAUGGGCUCAUAUCCGAUUAGAUAGUUGGUGAGGUAACGGCUCACCAAGUCGACGAUCGGUAGCCGGACUGAGAGGUUGAACGGCCACAUUGGAACUGAGAUACGGUCCAGACUCCUACGGGAGGCAGCAGUGGGGAAUAUUGGGCAAUGGGCGAAAGCCUGACCCAGCAACGCCGCGUGAAGGAAGAAGGUCUUCGGAUUGUAAACUUUUGUCUUAUGGGACGAUGAUGACGGUACCAUAGGAGGAAGCCACGACUAACUACGUGCCAGCAGUCGCGGUAAUACGUAGGUGGCGAGCGUUAUCCGGAAUUAUUGGGUGUAA